AGGGUUAUAGUUAAUUAUAACAUUUAAUUUGCAUUUAAAAAGUAUUGAUCCAGUAUCAAUUUACCUUA
RNAcentral lists this transfer RNA (68 nucleotides) under Onthophagus cf. jeannelianus. RNAcentral describes it as "tRNA-Ala". Lineage: Eukaryota; Metazoa; Arthropoda; Insecta; Coleoptera; Scarabaeidae. The record is from RNAcentral.